Molecule: ribosomal RNA, 773 nt
Filed under: uncultured Neocallimastigales
Lineage: Eukaryota; Fungi; Neocallimastigomycota; Neocallimastigomycetes; Neocallimastigales
Description: partial large subunit ribosomal RNA
Rfam family: Eukaryotic large subunit ribosomal RNA
Source: RNAcentral
CUAUACAUGACUCUGCGCAUAUCAAAAGCGGAGGAAAAGAAACUAACAAGGAUUCCCUUAGUAACGGCGAGUGAAGCGGGAAGAGCUCAAAUUUGAAAUCUUCAAGGUUCUACCUUGACGAAUUGUAGUUUAUAGAAGUGUUUUCUGUUAGUAGAGUGGCAAAAGUUCUUUGGAAUAGGACAUCAUAGAGGGUGAGAAUCCCGUAUUUGGUCAUUCUUUCUAGCUUUGUGAUACACUUUCAACGAGUCGGAUUGUUUGGGAAUGCAGUCCAAAAUGGGUGGUAAAUUUCAUCUAAAGCUAAAUAUUGGCGAGAGACCGAUAGCGAACAAGUACCGUGAGGGAAAGAUGAAAAGAACUUUGAAAAGAGAGUUAAACAGUACGUGAAAUUGUCAAAAGGGAAGCGUUUGACACCAGUGUUGUUUUUCCGAAAAUCAAUUACGAAUGUUUUGUUUUUGAGAAGUUAUGACUUCAUCGGCUUGCUUCUCUCUUUACGAAACUUUCUUAAUGCACUUUUCGGUUAACAAGUCAACAUCAAUUUCUUUUGUUGUAAAAGGGUACGAGGAAGGUGGCUUUCUUUUCGGAGAAAGUGUUUAUAGCCUUGUACCUCUGCAAUCGGAGAGAUUGAGGUCUGCAGCGUAGAUCCUUCGGGGUUAGAUACAUUUGUGCUAAGUUAUAGCUUUUCAUAGACAACUUGUUGACUAUGUUUAGUCUUGUAGCUUACUCGCUUAUGCUAUUUUACCUACGCUUAGGAUGUUGAUAGUCACAGCGUGUAC